RNAcentral lists this ribosomal RNA (560 nucleotides) under Debaryomyces hansenii. RNAcentral describes it as "eukaryotic LSU rRNA". It matches the Rfam family "Eukaryotic large subunit ribosomal RNA", at positions 48 to 612 of the family's 3401-position model. Lineage: Eukaryota; Fungi; Ascomycota; Pichiomycetes; Serinales; Debaryomycetaceae. The record is from RNAcentral.
AAGCUGUGGGAAAAGAAACCAACAGGGAUUGCCUUAGUAACGGCGAGUGAAGCGGCAAAAGCUCAAAUUUGAAAUCUGGCACCUUCGGUGUCCGAGUUGUAAUUUGAAGAAGGUAACUUUGGAGUUGGCUCUUGUCUAUGUUCCUUGGAACAGGACGUCACAGAGGGUGAGAAUCCCGUGCGAUGAGAUGCCCAAUUCUAUGUAAAGUGCUUUCGAAGAGUCGAGUUGUUUGGGAAUGCAGCUCUAAGUGGGUGGUAAAUUCCAUCUAAAGCUAAAUAUUGGCGAGAGACCGAUAGCGAACAAGUACAGUGAUGGAAAGAUGAAAAGAACUUUGAAAAGAGAGUGAAAAAGUACGUGAAAUUGUUGAAAGGGAAGGGCUUGAGAUCAGACUUGGUAUUUUGCGAUCCUUUCCUUCUUGGUUGGGUUCCUCGCAGCUUACUGGGCCAGCAUCGGUUUGGAUGGUAGGAUAAUGACUAAGGAAUGUGGCUCUACUUCGGUGGAGUGUUAUAGCCUUGGUUGAUACUGCCUGUCUAGACCGAGGACUGCGUCUUUGACUAGGA